RNAcentral lists this ribosomal RNA (434 nucleotides) under Atypus sp. LIF_2016_082. RNAcentral's name for it is "partial 16S ribosomal RNA". It matches the Rfam family "Bacterial large subunit ribosomal RNA", at positions 1810 to 2606 of the family's 2925-position model. Lineage: Eukaryota; Metazoa; Arthropoda; Arachnida; Araneae; Atypidae. The record is from RNAcentral.
AAAACAUUUCUUUUAGAAUUUUUAAAAGUAAACCCUGCUCAGUGAACUUUUAACAGCCGCAGAUCAACUGUGCUAAGGUAGCAUAAUAACUUGCCUUUUAAUUGAAGGCUAGAAUGAAUGGGAUUACAAUAAAUUACCUAUCUCUUUUCUUCAUAUUGAAAUUAAAUUAAUAGUAAAAAUUCUAUUAUAAAUAAAAAGGACGACAAGACCCUAUCAAACUUCACUAUAGUUAAACUGGGGCGGUAAAAAAAAAAUUCUUUUUUAAAAUUAUCUAAUUACUUAAUAAACAAGUUACUGUAGGGAUAACAGCAUAAUUUUUUUUUAGAGAUCUUAUCAAAAAAAAAGAUUGUGACCUCGAUGUUGAAUUAAAUUUCCUAAUUCACGAAACCAUGAAUAUAGUAAGUCUGUUCGACUUUUAAAAAUUUACAUGAUCU